CCUACGGGUGGCAGCAGUGAGGAAUAUUGGUCAAUGGCCGUAAGGCUGAACCAGCCAAGUCGCGUGAAGGCAGAAGGAUCUAUGGUUUGUAACCUUCUUUUAUAGGGGAGUAAAGGUAUCCACGUGUGGGUUUUUGCAUGUACCCUAUGCAUAAGCAUCGGCUAACUCCGUGCCAGCAGCCGCGGUAAUACGGAGGAUGCGAGCGUUAUCCGGAUUUCUUGGGUUUAAAGGGUGCGUAGGUUGUCUGUUCAGUCCGCGGUCAAAGCCUGGGGGUCAAACCCGGCCCGCCGUUGAACCUGGCAGUCUCGAGUUGGAGAGAAGUAUGCGGAAUGCGCGGUGUAGCGGUGAAAUGCAUAGAUAUCGCGCAGAACUCCGAUUGCGAAGGCAGCAUGCCGGCUCCACACUGACGCUGAGGCACGAAAGCGUGGGUAUCGAACAGGAUUAGAUACCCGAGUAGUC
Molecule: ribosomal RNA, 459 nt
Filed under: uncultured bacterium
Lineage: Bacteria
Description: partial 16S ribosomal RNA
Rfam family: Bacterial small subunit ribosomal RNA
Source: RNAcentral